CAUAGGUUAAUGAGGCGAACCGGGGGAACUGAAACAUCUAAGUACCCCGAGGAAAAGAAAUCAACCGAGAUUCCCCCAGUAGCGGCGAGCGAACGGGGAGGAGCCCAGAGCCUGAAUCAGUGUGUGUGUUAGUGGAAGCGUCUGGAAAGGCGCGCGAUACAGGGUGACAGCCCCGUACACAAAAAUGCACAUAUUGUGAGCUCGAUGAGUAGGGCGGGACACGUGGUAUCCUGUCUGAAUAUGGGGGGACCAUCCUCCAAGGCUAAAUACUCCUGACUGACCGAUAGUGAACCAGUACCGUGAGGGAAAGGCGAAAAGAACCCCGGCGAGGGGAGUGAAAAAGAACCUGAAACCGUGUACGUACAAGCAGUGGGAGCCUCUUUUAUGGGGUGACUGCGUACCUUUUGUAUAAUGGGUCAGCGACUUAUAUUCUGUAGCAAGGUUAACCGAAUAGGGGAGCCGAAGGGAAACCGAGUCUUAACUGGGCGUUAAGUUGCAGGGUAUAGACCCGAAACCCGGUGAUCUAGCCAUGGGCAGGUUGAAGGUUGGGUAACACUAACUGGAGGACCGAACCGACUAAUGUUGAAAAAUUAGCGGAUGACUUGUGGCUGGGGGUGAAAGGCCAAUCAAACCGGGAGAUAGCUGGUUCUCCCCGAAAGCUAUUUAGGUAGCGCCUCGUGAAUUCAUCUCCGGGGGUAGAGCACUGUUUCGGCAAGGGGGUCAUCCCGACUUACCAACCCGAUGCAAACUGCGAAUACCGGAGAAUGUUAUCACGGGAGACACACGGCGGGUGCUAACGUCCGUCGUGAAGAGGGAAACAACCCAGACCGCCAGCUAAGGUCCCAAAGUCAUGGUUAAGUGGGAAACGAUGUGGGAAGGCCCAGACAGCCAGGAUGUUGGCUUAGAAGCAGCCAUCAUUUAAAGAAAGCGUAAUAGCUCACUGGUCGAGUCGGCCUGCGCGGAAGAUGUAACGGGGCUAAACCAUG
Molecule: ribosomal RNA, 986 nt
Filed under: Escherichia coli
Lineage: Bacteria; Pseudomonadati; Pseudomonadota; Gammaproteobacteria; Enterobacterales; Enterobacteriaceae
Description: partial 23S ribosomal RNA
Rfam family: Bacterial large subunit ribosomal RNA
Source: RNAcentral